RNAcentral lists this long non-coding RNA (488 nucleotides) under Heterocephalus glaber (naked mole-rat). Its description in RNAcentral is "lncRNA (ENSHGLG00100044774.1)". The record is from RNAcentral. Lineage: Eukaryota; Metazoa; Chordata; Mammalia; Rodentia; Bathyergidae.
GUGCGUGCCAAGAACGGCUACUGGGGGGGGGGGGCGUGAGUGCGCGGCAGGGAGCACAGAAAGUCGUGUUGUUUCGUUUUGUUUUCUGAACAACGAAUGGGUCUUGGGGAUUUCAAAGUACCUGGAGCACUGGGAGAACCCUCGUUUUUGUCUGUGCUUAAAUGCCGGUUUUGUUUUUGCUUUUUUAAACGAGUAUUUGCCACGGCCCGAGUGGUUCAAGAGUUCACGGAGUGAGAAACGAUCAGCCCUGCCUCGUCUAUGGGAGGAAGCGAACAAGAUGCAUGCUCCUCGUUCCACUGGGGCCUUGCCACAUCCACAGGAGGAGGGUCUUGCUAUGUCGCUAAAUUGGCCAGGCUCAGCUCGAACCUGCAAUCUUCUCGCCUUGGCCGACAAGCACUCUGAGAUUUCUGGUGUGCACCGCCACACCCGCUGCCCUGGUCUGAGGGCAACUUGGCUCCCAAGUGCUUGGGGAAGCACCUCAAUUUUAC